This is a long non-coding RNA of Xenopus laevis (African clawed frog), 364 nucleotides long. RefSeq lists it as uncharacterized. NCBI's taxonomy places the organism in Eukaryota, Metazoa, Chordata, Amphibia, Anura, Pipidae. The record is from RefSeq and is a predicted model, not a curated record. The transcript is spliced from 3 exons.
UGUCAAAGCUUCCUGUACAGUUCCUGGAGGAGAGCCAACAUGCAGCGCAUGUGAACCAGGAACUUACCUUGAGCAUCCAAACUAUUUAUCCAGAUGUCGAGCCUGUCACUAUUGUCAUAUUGAGACUCAGAGUAUAGCAACAAACUGCUCAGCUACCGCUAAUACCCAGUGCAAAUGUAACGAGGGAAGAUACAGAAAAGAAGAACAAUGUGUCUUGUGCACAAAAUGCGGAAACAGAGAAACACUUCGAAACUGUUCACAGAAUGAAGACGCAAAGUGUGGUCAGUGUUUGCCUGGAUUCUAUGAAGAUGAAGAAAAAUGCCAGCCUUGCCCCCAGUAAGUCUGCUUGUUUGUCUACACAACA